GGAAGUAAAAGUCGUAACAAGGUUUCCGUAGGUGAACCUGCGGAAGGAUCAUUACUGAUUUGGCGGACCGAGCGUCAGCGAGGUUCCGCGAUCGCCUGUAUUUAAAACCCACACUUCGAAUUAUGUAUAUUUUUGUAUUUUUUUAAAAAUGAUAAAAAAAAAGAUCACUUUCAACAACGGAUCUCUUGGCUCUCGCAUCGAUGAAGAACGUAGCGAAGUGCGAUAAGUAAUGUGAAUUGCAGAAUUCCGUGAAUCAUCGAAUCUUUGAACGCAAAUUGCACUCUCUGGUAUUCCGGAGAGUAUGCCUGUUUGAGGGUCAGUUUAAAUAAAAAUCGGUGUGGUUGCUGCCUUUCGUGGUGACGCACCGGAUUUGGGUCGUCUUGCCUUCGGUUAAGUGACCUAAAAUUUUGCAUGAUUUUUCGAACGUAUUUAGUUGAUUUUACGUACGUUUGUGAUAUCGAAUACUAGGUGUGAUCAUCCUCAUGAUUCGCGCCUAUAAUUUCUCAUCAAAUGACCUCAAAUCAGGUAAGAGUACCCGCUGAACUUAAGCAUAUCAAUAAGCGGAGGA
Molecule: ribosomal RNA, 568 nt
Filed under: uncultured Glomus
Lineage: Eukaryota; Fungi; Glomeromycota; Glomeromycetes; Glomerales; Glomeraceae
Description: eukaryotic LSU rRNA
Rfam family: 5.8S ribosomal RNA (bases 166-319)
Source: RNAcentral